This 421-nucleotide ribosomal RNA is filed under the name uncultured bacterium. Its description in RNAcentral is "bacterial SSU rRNA". It matches the Rfam family "Bacterial small subunit ribosomal RNA", at positions 358 to 771 of the family's 1533-position model. The record is from RNAcentral.
GGAAUCUUGGUCAAUGGGCGCAAGCCUGAACCAGCGACGCCGCGUGAGUGAUGAAGGCCUUCGGGUUGUAAAGCUCUGUGGGGCGAGACGAAAGCCUACGUUCUAACAGGACGUAGUUUGACGGUAUCGCCUUAGCAAGCCCCGGCUAACUCUGUGCCAGCAGCCGCGGUAAGACAGAGGGUGCAAACGUUGCUCGGAAUCACUGGGCGUAAAGGGCGUGUAGGCGGGAGGAUAAGUCAGGUGUGAAAUCCCCCAGGCUCAACCUGGGAACUGCACUUGAAACUGUCUUUCUUGAGUGUCGGAGAGGAAAGUGGAAUUCCUGGUGUAGAGGUGAAAUUCGUAGAUAUCAGGAGGAACACCGGUGGCGAAGGCGGCUUUCUGGACGACAACUGACGCUGAGACGCGAAAGCGUGGGGAGCAA